GGGUUGUGAGGUUAAGCGACUAAGCGUACACGGUGGAUGCCCCGGCAGUCAGAGGCGAUGAAGGACGUGCUAAUCUGCGAUAAGCGUCGGUGAGGUGAUAUGAACCGUUAUAACCGGCGAUUUCCGAAUGGGGAAACCCAGUGUGUUUCGACACACUAUCAUUAACUGAAUCCAUAGGUUAAUGAGGCGAACCGGGGAACUGAAACAUCUAAGUACCCCGAGGAAAGAAAUCAACCGAGAUUCCCCAGUAGCGGCGAGCGAACGGGGAGGAGCCAGAGCCUGAAUCAGUGUGUGUGUUAGUGGAAGCGUCUGGAAAGGCGCGCGAUACAGGGUGACAGCCCCGUACACAAAAUGCACAUACUGUGAGCUCGAUGAGUAGGGCGGGACACGUGGUAUCCUGUCUGAAUAUGGGGACCAUCCUCCAAGGCUAAAUACUCCUGACUGACCGAUAGUGAACCAGUACCGUGAGGGAAAGGCGAAAAGAACCCCGGCGAGGGAGUGAAAAGAACCUGAAACCGUGUACGUACAAGCAGUGGGAGCCUCUUAAUGGGGUGACUGCGUACCUUUUGUAUAAUGGGUCAGCGACUUAUAUUCUGUAGCAAGGUUAACCGAAUAGGAGCCGAAGGAAACCGAGUCUUAACUGGGCGUUAAGUUGCAGGGUAUAGACCCGAAACCCGGUGAUCUAGCCAUGGGCAGGUUGAAGGUUGGGUAACACUAACUGGAGGACCGAACCGACUAAUGUUGAAAAAUUAGCGGAUGACUUGUGGCUGGGGUGAAAGGCCAAUCAAACCGGGAGAUAGCUGGUUCUCCCCGAAAGCUAUUUAGGUAGCGCCUCGUGAAUUCAUCUCCGGGGUAGAGCACUGUUUCGGCAAGGGGUCAUCCCGACUUACCAACCCGAUGCAAACUGCGAAUACCGGAGAAUGUUAUCACGGGAGACACACGGCGGGUGCUAACGUCCGUCGUGAAGAGGGAAACAACCCAGACCGCCAGCUAAGGUCCCAAAGUCAUGGUUAAGUGGGAAACGAUGUGGGAAGGCCCAGACAGCCGGGGAUGUUGGCUUAGAAGCAGCCAUCAUUUAAAGAAAGCGUAAUAGCUCACUGGUCGAGUCGGCCUGCGCGGAAGAUGUAACGGGCUAAACCAUGCACCGAAGCUGCGGCAGCGACGCUUAUGCGUUGUUGGGUAGGGGAGCGUUCUGUAAGCCUGUGAAGGUGGCCUGUGAGGGUUGCUGGAGGUAUCAGAAGUGCGAAUGCUGACAUAAGUAACGAUAAAGCGGGUGAAAAGCCCGCUCGCCGGAAGACCAAGGGUUCCUGUCCAACGUUAAUCGGGGCAGGGUGAGUCGACCCCUAAGGCGAGGCCGAAAGGCGUAGUCGAUGGGAAACAGGUUAAUAUUCCUGUACUUGGUGUUACUGCGAAGGGGACGGAGAAGGCUAUGUUGGCCGGGCGACGGUUGUCCCGGUUUAAGCGUGUAGGCUGGUUUUCCGGCAAAUCCGGAAAAUCAAGGCUGAGGCGUGAUGACGAGGCACUACGGUGCUGAAGCGACAAAUGCCCUGCUUCCGGAAAGCCUCUAAGCAUCAGGUAACAUUAAAUCGUACCCCAAACCGACACAGGUGGUCAGGUAGAGAAUACCAAGGCGCUUGAGAGAACUCGGGUGAAGGAACUAGGCAAAAUGGUGCCGUAACUUCGGGAGAAGGCACGCUGAUAUGUAGGUGAAGCGACUUGCUCGUGGAGCUGAAAUCAGUCGAAGAUACCAGCUGGCUGCAACUGUUUAUUAAAACACAGCACUGUGCAAACACGAAAGUGGACGUAUACGGUGUGACGCCUGCCCGGUGCCGGAAGGUUAAUUGAUGGGGUUAGCGGUAACGCGAAGCUCUUGAUCGAAGCCCCGGUAAACGGCGGCCGUAACUAUAACGGUCCUAAGGUAGCGAAAUUCCUUGUCGGGUAAGUUCCGACCUGCACGAAUGGCGUAAUGAUGGCGAGGCUGUCUCCACCCGAGACUCAGUGAAAUUGAACUCGCUGUGAAGAUGCAGUGUACCCGCGGCAAGACGGAAAGACCCCGUGAACCUUUACUAUAGCUUGACACUGAACAUUGAGCCUUGAUGUGUAGGAUAGGUGGGAGGCUUUGAAGUGUGGACGCCAGUCUGCAUGGAGCCGACCUUGAAAUACCACCCUUUAAUGUUUGAUGUUCUAACGUGGGCCCCUUACCGGGGUUGCGGACAGUGUCUGGUGGGUAGUUUGACUGGGGCGGUCUCCUCCUAAAGAGUAACGGAGGAGCACGAAGGUUGGCUAAUCUGGUCGGACAUCAGGAGGUUAGUGCAAUGGCAUAAGCCAGCUUGACUGCGAGCGUGACGGCGCGAGCAGGUGCAGCAGGUCAUAGUGAUCCGGUGGUUCUGAAUGGAAGGGCCAUCGCUCAACGGAUAAAAGGUACUCCGGGGAUAACAGGCUGAUACCGCCCAAGAGUUCAUAUCGACGGCGGUGUUUGGCACCUCGAUGUCGGCUCAUCACAUCCUGGGGCUGAAGUAGGUCCCAAGGGUAUGGCUGUUCGCCAUUUAAAGUGGUACGCGAGCUGGGUUUAGAACGUCGUGAGACAGUUCGGUCCCUAUCUGCCGUGGGCGCUGGAGAACUGAGGGGGGCUGCUCCUAGUACGAGAGGACCGGAGUGGACGCAUCACUGGUGUUCGGGUUGUCAUGCCAAUGGCACUGCCCGGUAGCUAAAUGCGGAAGAGAUAAGUGCUGAAAGCAUCUAAGCACGAAACUUGCCCCGAGAUGAGUUCUCCUGACUCCUUGAGAGUCCUGAAGGAACGUUGAAGACGACGACGUUGAUAGGCCGGGUGUGUAAGCGCAGCGAUGCGUUGAGCUAACCGGUACUAAUGAACCGUGAGGCUUAACCUUACAACGCCGAAGGUGUUU
This 2906-nucleotide ribosomal RNA is filed under the name Escherichia coli. Its description in RNAcentral is "23S ribosomal RNA". It matches the Rfam family "Bacterial large subunit ribosomal RNA". Lineage: Bacteria; Pseudomonadati; Pseudomonadota; Gammaproteobacteria; Enterobacterales; Enterobacteriaceae. The record is from RNAcentral.